GAUGAACGCUGACAGAAUGCUUAACACAUGCAAGUCAACUUGAACUUCGGUUUGGGUGGCGGACGGGUGAGUAACGCGUACAGAACUUGCCUCACAGAUAGGGACAACAUUUGGAAACGAAUGCUAAUACCUGAUAUUAUGAUUAUAUGGCAUCGUAUAAUUAUGAAAGCUAUAUGCGCUGUGAGAGAGCUUUGCGUCCCAUUAGCUAGUUGGAGAGGUAACGGCUCACCAAGGCGAUGAUGGGUAGCCGGCCUGAGAGGGUGAUCGGCCACAAGGGGACUGAGACACGGCCCUUACUCCUACGGGAGGCAGCAGUGGGGAAUAUUGGACAAUGGACCAAGAGUCUGAUCCAGCAAGUCUGUGUGCACGAUGAAGUUUUUCGGAAUGUAAAGUGCUUUCAGUUGGGAAGAAAAAAAUGACGGUACCAACAGAAGAAGUGACGGCUAAAUACG
RNAcentral lists this ribosomal RNA (452 nucleotides) under uncultured bacterium. RNAcentral describes it as "partial 16S ribosomal RNA". It matches the Rfam family "Bacterial small subunit ribosomal RNA", at positions 28 to 505 of the family's 1533-position model. The record is from RNAcentral.